UACGUAGGGUGCAAGCGUUAAUCGGAAUUACUGGGCGUAAAGCGUGCGCAGGCGGUUUUGUAAGUCUGACGUGAAAUCCCCGGGCUUAACCUGGGAACUGCAUUUGUGACUGCAAGGCUGGAGUGCGGCAGAGGGGGAUGGAAUUCCGCGUGUAGCAGUGAAAUGCGUAGAUAUGCGGAGGAACACCGAUGGCGAAGGCAAUCCCCUGGGCCUGCACUGACGCUCAUGCACGAAAGCGUGGGGAGCAAACAGG
RNAcentral lists this ribosomal RNA (253 nucleotides) under uncultured bacterium. Its description in RNAcentral is "partial 16S ribosomal RNA". It matches the Rfam family "Bacterial small subunit ribosomal RNA", at positions 524 to 776 of the family's 1533-position model. The record is from RNAcentral.